AAAGGAGAAUAACGAAUCCCGAUUCUUUCAUCAAACAAAAGGUACCCCCAAGAAAAGAGGGGAGUGAAAAACUGAAGACAUGUAUCUCGUCUACCACUCAACGACACAAACAAGAGACCAGACCGACGAAUUUUACGAACACCCAGAAAGGAGCAUAUCAAGAAAACAUCAAGCAACACGCACAAGGGGCAUCAGAAUUCAAGAGCCGAUCCCCGAUCGUCGUCUAGAUCUGGAGAAAAACCCGAACCCAGUUGGUCAAAUCAGAAGGAAAACCCAAGUCCGUAUCUUGUUCACUAUUUGAGGAAGCACCGGAUCUUGCGCAGUAAGUAUCGCUAGAUUUUAGCUUUCAGUUUCUCAAAAAUCAGCACGAAUCUUGAAAAGAGAAGGGAUUUUGCCUGAGAUUUUGAUUCCUGUGGUUUCUUA
This is a long non-coding RNA of Rhodamnia argentea, 423 nucleotides long. RefSeq lists it as uncharacterized. NCBI's taxonomy places the organism in Eukaryota, Viridiplantae, Streptophyta, Magnoliopsida, Myrtales, Myrtaceae. The record is from RefSeq and is a predicted model, not a curated record. The transcript is spliced from 2 exons.